This 253-nucleotide ribosomal RNA is filed under the name uncultured bacterium. RNAcentral's name for it is "partial 16S ribosomal RNA". It matches the Rfam family "Bacterial small subunit ribosomal RNA", at positions 524 to 776 of the family's 1533-position model. The record is from RNAcentral.
UACGGGGGGGGCAAGCGUUGUUCGGAAUUACUGGGCGUAAAGGGCUCGUAGGUGGCCAACUAAGUCAGACGUGAAAUCCCUCGGCUUAACCGGGGAACUGCGUCUGAUACUGGCAGGCUUGAAUCCGGGAGAGGGAUGCGGAAUUCCAGGUGUAGCGGUGAAAUGCGUAGAUAUCUGGAGGAACACCGGUGGCGAAGGCGGCAUCCUGGACCGGCAUUGACGCUGAGGCGCGAAAGCCAGGGGAGCAAACGGG